RNAcentral lists this ribosomal RNA (465 nucleotides) under uncultured bacterium. RNAcentral describes it as "partial 16S ribosomal RNA". It matches the Rfam family "Bacterial small subunit ribosomal RNA", at positions 338 to 795 of the family's 1533-position model. The record is from RNAcentral.
CCUACGGGUGGCAGCAGUAGGGAAUCUUCCACAAUGGGCGAAAGCCUGAUGGAGCAACGCCGCGUGGGUGAAGAAGGUCUUCGGAUCGUAAAACCCUGUUGUUAGAGAAGAAAGUGCGUGAGAGUAACUGUUCACGUUUCGACGGUAUCUAACCAGAAAGCCACGGCUAACUACGUGCCAGCAGCCGCGGUAAUACGUAGGUGGCAAGCGUUAUCCGGAUUUAUUGGGCGUAAAGGGAACGCAGGCGGUCUUUUAAGUCUGAUGUGAAAGCCUUCGGCUUAACCGGAGUAGUGCAUUGGAAACUGGGAGACGUGAGUGAAGAAGGGGAGAGUGGAACUCCAGGGGUAGCGGUGAAAUGCGUAGAUAGAGGGAAGAACACCAGUGGCGAAAGCGGCUCUCUGGUCUGUAACUGACGCUGAGGUUCGAAAGCGUGGGUAGCAAACAGGAUUAGAUACCCCUGUAGUC